This 465-nucleotide ribosomal RNA is filed under the name uncultured bacterium. RNAcentral's name for it is "partial 16S ribosomal RNA". It matches the Rfam family "Bacterial small subunit ribosomal RNA", at positions 28 to 507 of the family's 1533-position model. The record is from RNAcentral.
GACGAACGCUGGCGGCGUGCUUAACACAUGCAAGUCGUACGGUAAGGCCCUUUCGGGGGUACACGAGUGGCGAACGGGUGAGUAACACGUGAGUAACCUGUCCACAACUUUGGGAUAACGCUAGGAAACUGGUGCUAAUACUGGAUAUGUGCUCCUGCUGCAUGGUGGGGGUUGGAAAGCUCCGGCGGUUGUGGAUGGACUCGCGGCCUAUCAGCUUGUUGGUGGGGUAGUGGCCUACCAAGGCGGCGACGGGUAGCCGGCCUGAGAGGGUGACCGGCCACAUUGGGACUGAGAUACGGCCCAGACUCCUACGGGAGGCAGCAGUGGGGAAUAUUGCACAAUGGGCGCAAGCCUGAUGCAGCAACGCCGCGUGCGGGAUGACGGCCUUCGGGUUGUAAACCGCUUUCAGCAGGGACGAAGCUUUUUGUGACGGUACCUGCAGAAGAAGCACCGGCUAACUACGUG